Molecule: unclassified non-coding RNA, 2200 nt
Filed under: Daphnia magna
Lineage: Eukaryota; Metazoa; Arthropoda; Branchiopoda; Diplostraca; Daphniidae
Description: pRKCA-binding protein, transcript variant X7
Source: RNAcentral
GCAGUUGCUUGCGAUAUGUUUUGCUCGGCACUCAGCCCAUCUCAUUUAUGUAUAGGACUAAAGCGACAUGAACCCCAUCGGACGAAUCGAUAACUUUGGCCGGCUGUCAGUACCGAAUAGAGAAGGAACGCGUGUACAUAUACAUUAUUGGAGACAGAACUGAUGUAUGGAAAAAGGGGGGUGGGACAACCAACCAAGGGCAUCGUCGUCGUCGCGCGCAUAUCCGCCCGUCUUGACGCAACUCCGUCGACGAAGCGUUGCCGGAUCGUGAACAGCAUUCGAUCGAUAAAGACAUGGAGUGUAGCCCUCCUUUAGCUUGUUAUCAAAACGGAAAAAGGGGGGAAGCCGGGCGAUGUCGGCCCACCAUCGAGGGCAACCAACGAUCCUGUAUGGGAGGUUGCCCGCAGAACAGACGACAGCUGUGCCAACUGGCGACCUGAAAGUUGUGUGGUGGUACGGUUCGUCGCUGCUGUUUCGACAAACUGCAUCUCUACAGUCCUGUUGACGCAAAAGCAAAACAAACGACAAACGCUGAAAUAGAUUCGGGUACAAAAAUGUUGUCCGACUACGAGCCAGACUUCUUUUUCGAAGAAGACAAGAUUCCCGAAACGACUUACAGCGGAACUGGUACAGCCAACUGGGAAGACGACAUAUCGAUAGCCAGUCCUGCAUCAGAUGGAAUUAUUGGUAGCAAUAAUCCAAGCAAUGAUAAUGACGAUAACGACAACCUUCCAGAUGUCGUGAAUUCAGACGAGCUUGAAUCGUCCUCUUGCAUGUUACUGGAGGUCGAAGACAUCGAAGACGAAAUGCGUGGAUUUUUCUGGCCGGAGAACCAUCAGGGAAUGACGAUCACGACAGGUUCAGUGGUCCUUGAAAAAGAUGGCUCCAAUUUGAUUGGAAUCAGCAUUGGAGGAGGUGCACCCUAUUGCCCAUGCCUCUACAUCGUGCAGAUUUUUGACAAUACACCAGCUGCUAAAGAAGGAACUCUUCAAAGCGGAGAUGAAAUAACAGGAGUGGAUAACAUUUCAGUCAAAGGCAAAACAAAAUCCGAAGUGGCAAAGAUGAUCCAAGCAGCCCAGAGCUCAGUCACGAUUCGCUACAACAAGCUUCACGCGGAACCUGCUCAAGGCAAAACUUUGGAUUUGAUAUUGAAGAAAGUCAAGCACCGCCUCGUCGAGAACAUGUCCAGCUCGACGGCCGACGCUCUGGGACUUUCAAGGGCCAUCCUGUGCAACGACAGUUUGCUGAAACGCCUAGAAGACUUGAAGCGUUGUGAGGGCAUGUACAGAGGGCUGGUCGAGCACACUAGACGUCUUCUUCGUUCUUAUUACGAUCUGUCCCAAACCUAUAAAGAUUUUGGUAACAUCUUUUCGACAAUCGGCGUCCGUGAGUUACAGCCGCGAGCCAGCGAAGUUUUCACAAAGUUUGGAGAGAUCCAUCGGCAGAUGGAACGUUACGGUGUCCAGAUGAUUAAACAACUCAAACCGGUACUGGCCGACUUGGGUACUUUUCUUCACAAGGCUAUUCCCGACACCCGAAUGACCAUCGGUCGCUAUGCCGACGCCAAGUUUGAAUACCUCUCAUAUUGCUUAAAGGUGAAGGAAAUGGACGAUGAGGAGCAGAGCUACCAUUCACUGCAAGAGCCUUCCUACCGCAUCGAGACAGGAAAUUACGAAUACCGAUUGGUUCUUCGUUGUCGGCAAGAUGCCAGGGUUCGAUUCGCAGCUCUACGGUCUGAUGUUCAGGUCAAAAUCGAGUUACUUGAUAACAAGCACGUUCAAGAUGUCGUCCAGCAACUUCAGAGGCUUCUGAGUCACCUGACUACCUUUUAUGAUCAGUGUCAUCAACUGCUGGACGGACAGCGUUUCUUCCCAAUCGAAGUGGAUUUAUCUAAGGGUGCAUUCACUUAUGAAUCUGUCAGCGGUUUACUUCAGUCUCAGGAUGAAGAGGAGCCCGAGGAAUACAAUGUGGCCGAGGAAGCUAAGGAAACAUCUAAUAUGGUUAAUAACAGCGGGGAAAGUCAACCUCUUAUAUCAAUGGACUGAAAUGGCGAAUAAGCUGUAAUUGGAAAGAAUCGCACUGGCGCAAGAAUGAAUUGCUGUUCUCUGUCUACGGUUUUUAUCGUCUAAGACCAACGAGAGUCUCGCGAUUUACGGAAGCCCAUUCGAGAAAGUUCUAAAUAUAUAUUUAAAAGAAGGAA